UACGGAGGGUGCAAGCGUUGCUCGGAAUUAUUGGGCGUAAAGGGCAGGUAGGUGGUCUCAUUUGUCAGGGGUGAAAGCCUUGGGCUUAACCCAAGAAGUGCCCCUGAAACGGUGAGACUAGAGUGCUGGAGAGGUGAGUGGAAUUCCCGGUGUAGCGGUGAAAUGCGUAGAGAUCGGGAGGAACACCAGAGGCGAAGGCGGCUCACUGGACAGUGACUGACGCUGAGACGCGAAAGCGUGGGGAGCGAACAGG
This 253-nucleotide ribosomal RNA is filed under the name uncultured bacterium. RNAcentral describes it as "partial 16S ribosomal RNA". It matches the Rfam family "Bacterial small subunit ribosomal RNA", at positions 524 to 776 of the family's 1533-position model. The record is from RNAcentral.